RNAcentral lists this transfer RNA (93 nucleotides) under Pseudomonas phage Psa21. RNAcentral's name for it is "tRNA-Ser". It matches the Rfam family "tRNA". From Rfam's summary of the family: Transfer RNA (tRNA) molecules are approximately 80 nucleotides in length. Their secondary structure includes four short double-helical elements and three loops (D, anti-codon, and T loops). The record is from RNAcentral. Lineage: Duplodnaviria; Heunggongvirae; Uroviricota; Caudoviricetes; Chimalliviridae.
AGGAAGAAUGUCGGAGUGGUUUAACGAGGGGCUUUGCUAAAGCUCUGGUGGUCUAAGGACUGCCCUAGGGUUCAAAUCCCUAUUCUUCCUCCA